CGAUUCUAGAAAACGGCACGAAAUUGAGAAAUUAACAUAAAAAUGGAAAUAAAUCAAUAAACAUCUAUUAAGUCACUGCGAGGAGAAUCUGCAUAAAAAUGGAGAGGCAUCAAAUAUACGCGUCUACAGAUAUACUGUUAAAGGAAUGCAGCUGCAACUGAUGACUAUAGAAUUUUUACAGCCAACACAAAUCCCAUCAAAAUUUGUUGAGAAAAUAAAUACACAGCCAGCAGAACGUGCGCAAAUGAGUCUAUCGACAGCAGCA
Molecule: long non-coding RNA, 265 nt
Organism: Bactrocera tryoni
Lineage: Eukaryota; Metazoa; Arthropoda; Insecta; Diptera; Tephritidae
Exons: 3
Source: RefSeq, a predicted model, not a curated record